Molecule: ribosomal RNA, 460 nt
Filed under: uncultured bacterium
Lineage: Bacteria
Description: partial 16S ribosomal RNA
Rfam family: Bacterial small subunit ribosomal RNA
Source: RNAcentral
CCUACGGGUGGCAGCAGUGAGGAAUAUUGGUCAAUGGGCGGGAGCCUGAACCAGCCAAGUCGCGUGAGGGAAGACGGUCCUAUGGAUUGUAAACCUCUUUAGGCGGGGAGCAAUGCCGGGCACGCGUGCCCGGAGGGAGAGUACCCGCAGAAUAAGCAUCGGCUAACUCCGUGCCGGCAGCCGCGGUAAUACGGAGGAUGCGAGCUUUAUCCGGAUUUAUUGGGUUUAAAGGGUGCGUAGGCGGAUUUUUAAGUCAGCGGUAAAAUGUCCGGGCUCAACCCGGGCCGGCCGUUGAAACUGGUGAUCUUGAGGGGGCGAGAAGUAUGCGGAAUGCGUGGUGUAGCGGGGAAAUGCAUAGAUAUCACGCAGAACUCCGAUUGCGAAGGCAGCAUACCGGCGCCCGACUGACGCUGAGGCACGAAAGCGUGGGGAUCGAACAGGAUUAGAUACCCGGGUAGUC